Phrynosoma platyrhinos (Desert horned lizard) is the source of this 72-nucleotide non-coding RNA. NCBI's taxonomy places the organism in Eukaryota, Metazoa, Chordata, Lepidosauria, Squamata, Phrynosomatidae. The record is from the annotation of a GenBank genome assembly.
GGUAGUGUGGCAUAGUGGUUUGAGUAUUGGACUGUGACUCUGAAGACCAGGGUUCAAUUCCCAGUUCAGCCA